CCCUUAGACGCUCUAGGCGGCACGCGCGCUACAAUGGGUGGUAGAACGUGUAGCUGCUCCCGAAAGGGAGGGUGAACCACGAAUACUUACCCGUGAAUGGGAUAGUUUGUUGCAAUUUUCGGACUUGAACUAGGAAUCCCUUGUAAGAAUGCUCAAGAAUAGCGUGCUGAAUACGUCCCUGCCGUUUGUACACACCGCCCGUCGUUUCUUCCGACUGAUACUCAUUGUGAGUUGCAAGGAUUCUUAUUGAAAAAUUGCUGCGAAUGCUUUGUAUUGGAGGAAGAAAAAGUCGUAACA
Molecule: ribosomal RNA, 297 nt
Filed under: uncultured eukaryote
Lineage: Eukaryota
Description: partial 18S ribosomal RNA
Rfam family: Eukaryotic small subunit ribosomal RNA
Source: RNAcentral